AAUAUUUCGCAAUGGGGGAAACCCUGACGCCGCGACGCCGCGUGAACUAUUAAUGCCUUCGGUUCGUAAAUUCUUUUCCUCAGGGAAGAAUACAUUGACGGUACGUGAGGCAGAAGCCCCGGACAACUACGUUCUAGCCUCCGCGGUAAUACGUAGGGGGCAAGCGUUGUCCGGAAUUACUGGGCGUAAAGGGUGCGUAGGCGGCCUUUUAAGUCAGAUGUGAAAGACCACAGCUUAACUGUGGGAUUGCAUUUGAAACUGAAGGGCUUGAGUGUCGGAGAGGGUAGUGGAAUUCCCGGAGUAGCGGUGAAAUGCGUAGAUAUCGGGAGGAACACCAGUGGCGAAGGCGACUACCUGGACGACAACUGACGCUGAGGCACGAAAGCUAGGGGAGCAAAC
This 399-nucleotide ribosomal RNA is filed under the name uncultured bacterium. Its description in RNAcentral is "partial 16S ribosomal RNA". It matches the Rfam family "Bacterial small subunit ribosomal RNA", at positions 360 to 773 of the family's 1533-position model. The record is from RNAcentral.